Anopheles arabiensis is the source of this 3222-nucleotide long non-coding RNA. RefSeq lists it as uncharacterized. Lineage: Eukaryota; Metazoa; Arthropoda; Insecta; Diptera; Culicidae. The transcript has 2 exons. The record is from RefSeq and is a predicted model, not a curated record.
AUAGAAUACGAUAACACAACCGCUAACUAUUACCAUUCCCAAUAAUUUCCAUCUUCUAAUUUACAUACACCUCAUAAAGACAUAAUGUACAUAGUUCUGCGCUAAAACAGCGAUCGAAUUCGACACCCUUCCAGCCUUACCGCUAUUACCAUUGCCGGGUUAGGCGUAAAUAACGUAUUGUCUGCCUUUCGUUUCCUAUUUACCGACUGCUUGAUUAGAAUACCAUCUCAAUAGUCAUCCGCCGUACGCCUGCAUCUUGUUUGACCUCUUGAACACACACACAUAAGAGCUCCUGGUAACACGUAUCAAUAAGCACUUCUCUAUCAAUGCGCAAGCACCAUUCCCGAGAUACACGGUCACCUUUAUGUCGGCAAACGCUCUACAGCCGUAACAACAUCAUUAAAUCCUGUUACGGGCUUUACAUCCUCCCCCGUCUGAGAAACGUCGAAUGUGAAGGUGGAUUUGUUUUCUAGUUUCAAACCGUUCUCACGCCACAUGUGUACCGGAUUAACACAGACAAACAAAUCUUUGAGCUGAGCUGCUGCCUCACAAACAAGAUAGUGCGGAAAGAUGAGGUCGGUUGUCUGAGCUGCGCUCGUCAACAUAGUGUCCUCGAUUUGUGGUCUGGAAACCCCGGGUCGGAGUACGCAAGAUUAUUUCACCCAACGCAGAACAUGAUUUACCGAUCGGAAGCAAUGGAGACGCCUAGUAACCAACAGAAACUUUGGCUCGAUUGAUUCAAAAUGCAGCAUUUUCCGUUAUUUUCGUUAGGUGUUUUGUCAAUCUUAAAUUAUUUCUUCUCCUACUUAUUCAGCAAUUCCAUGUAUCCCGAAUAGUCAGUAGUCCGGGGGACGGUCUAUUCUACGCUUGAACCCAUGACGGCCAUAUUAUUGAGUCGUUCGACUGUACCAUGGGACCGCCCCCGUGGUCAUAUUAAAUAAAAAAACUAUGGCAGUUAUAUUACAUUGUGUUUACAAACAGUUAUAAGAACAUUAACAUUAGUUCCAAAAAAUAGAUCCCCAAGCUCUGCUCCAUGUAAAUGCCCUUUUAAUUCAAUUGCAUACCUUUGUAGCUAAUUAGAGCACCAACUUGAUCAACAGCAUAAUGAAUUAAAAAAAACAAAAAAUGGCGACAUGAGAGAGCUAUAGGCAGGUACUAACUAAUCAAAUAGCCAGAGCCCGCAUAAACAUCACACAAAAUGAAAGAUAUAAAAAUCUCAUACAACAUUAUCAUUCCUGCAUCGUUCGAACCCACAAGGGACGAUGACAAACUUCGACCAGGUUGGCAAGAAGAACACACCCGAGAAUAAAGCCUUAUAAUAGCUAUUGAAUGUCAAAGUUUUGGGUUGAGAUAAUUCAUCUCACGAUCGGGGCGGCACGUUCCACUAGACGCCAUCAUGGCUGCUCUCAGUAUCACGAGGUGAACAAAUGUCGUCAAACAAGGUUCAGUUAGGAAACCAACAACUCUCUUUUUGAGCUUGCACCUUGGACGAUUUUUGCUUUCCCGUAUUGUUAUACAAUACUAGUACAUAACAUUUUCGGUAUAAGGGUUUUUUCCUCUUCUCGUUACUAUGAUUCAUAUUACCGUGACCCUAGGGCAGCCUCUUUUUGAGAGCGGCGCACAUGCGGCGCACUAUUAUAUACAUUUACAUCAGCCAAAGCUUACAAACACUAGCUGCAAUCAUGAGACCAAAUGUGACACUCAGGCACUUCGUAGUGUGCAAGCUGCAGGCACUAGUAAAUAAUACACAUGCCAAAUGAUUAGAUUCCUCGCCAAGAUCCAGUCUCGGUCAGUCAUGUUUAAAUUACGCCGUAAAACGAAGCUUUACUAUUCAAAGCAAAAUCAUUAGUAAUGUAAUAUGAUUUAUUGGUUUUCACUCGAACGAAAAAUAAAUCACUUGAUUGAGUCAAUGAGAGCAUUCUUUUCAUUGCUGUAAUGAUAAUAAUAAUAAUAUUAAUAAGCAGCCUUUUUGCAACAUCAAGUGCGUGUAGAAAAUAUACUAACAUGCUCAGUCAUUGGUACACCGCAUGGCAUGAGGCGUAGAAAUGUUACUAUACCCUUUUGCUCCGGAACUGAACUUCGGUCGCUCGAUCAACAAACCAAUAGAUCGUGCGAUAACAUCCACCCACAAGCAAGUGAUCGCCAAUCUGUUUGUUUGUUUGUUUAUUUGUAUGUUCUUGCACUUUCAUUGCAUUUUUCCAGUGCAGCUAGCAAAAAAAAAAAGAAUGCUCUCACACUACUGGCUCUAGAAACAGUCGGUGCGUUAUCGUUUGCAGUCACACUGAACACACUGAACGCUCCCCGAGAAAUUAAUUACUGCCUAUUCUAAUCAGUGCACAUCGGUCAAUCGGGACUUGCCGGUAAACAGAUCGCGCCUAGCGCCUAAAAUAGACGAAAACGAAAUCAAACAAGAAAUUCCGAAACAAACAACUGACCGUGAGCAUCAUGCAUGCAAGGGAACUGUGAUAGGAGACAACGCCGUUUUUACUACGUGCCGCCAACCAACGGAUGGAUGAAUCUGAUGCCCCCUAUCGCCCGCAAUGUAGCCGAUUAAGUUAAACGUUAGCCUCCGGAGACCCACAAACAGUGGUAGGUGGUUAUUUACGAUCAUAUUUACAACUGAUUGCGAUUGUGAACUUUUAGAAAAGUCCAUCAUCUGGCCAGGGUCGUAUAAGUAGUUGCUGGGAAUCUCAAACCGUGCUCUUUCCUGCACAGUAUAUAUUAUUCCCACGAAACGGUAUAUUCCCACCAAGAAAAAGAGUAAACAAAUGUUUAUAUUCACAGCUCACACAAACACACUGAUCAGGAAACGGUUUGCUGCUAUUAAAUCAUGAAUCUUUAUGGCCGACAAAAAUUUGUUUAAAUAUAUAUAAACAUUCUCCGCAUCUUGCCAAGCGUCACCAAACUGCAUAUGCUAAAUGCUUGUUUGUAUAAUGAAGAAAAUAUGUUUUUGUAUAACACGUUUAGUUCAGUACUGCACAUGAAGUAUGUGGUCGCUACGAGUCUUGAACUCAUGGCGGUUAUGUUGUUAAUCGUGCGUCUUAACGAAGGCCCACCAGACCCAGAUUACCGCUCAAAAACCGAACAAACAUGCUAUGACAAUGUGUCCGCUUGUAAAUACAUCUCAGAAGCUUGCGCAAUGCUAAAGCGAUCAUUGCCCAUAGCAUCGUUGGAGAGAAGAAAAAAACAAUAAGACCGGAGAACUUGUCAAAGCAAAACCCC